UAAGCAUAUCAAUAAGCGGAGGAAAAGAAACCAACAGGGAUUGCCCCAGUAACGGCGAGUGAAGCGGCAACAGCUCAAAUUUGAAAUCUGGCCUCCGGGUCCGAGUUGUAAUUUGUAGAGGAUGCUUUUGGCGAGGUGCCUUCCGAGUUCCCUGGAACGGGACGCCAUAGAGGGUGAGAGCCCCGUCUGGUCGGACACCGAGCCUCUGUAAAGCUCCUUCGACGAGUCGAGUAGUUUGGGAAUGCUGCUCAAAAUGGGAGGUAUAUGUCUUCUAAAGCUAAAUAUUGGCCAGAGACCGAUAGCGCACAAGUAGAGUGAUCGAAAGAUGAAAAGCACUUUGAAAAGAGGGUUAAAAAGUACGUGAAAUUGUUGAAAGGGAAGCGCCUAUGACCAGACUUGGGCCCGGUGAAUCAUCCAGCGUUCUCGCUGGUGCACUUUGCCGGGCACAGGCCAGCAUCAGUUUGGCGCGGGGGAAAAAGGUUUUGGGAAUGUGGCUCCCUCGGGAGUGUUAUAGCCCAUUGCGUAAUACCCUGCGCCGGACUGAGGUACGCGCAUCGCAAGGAUGCUGGCGUAAUGGUCAUCAGCGACCCGUCUUGAAACACGGACCAAGGAGUCGUCUUCGUAUGCGAGUGUUCGGGUGUCAAACCCCUACGCGUAAUGAAAGUGAACGCAGGUGAGAGCUUCGGCGCAUCAUCGACCGAUCCUGAUGUUCUCGGAUGGAUUUGAGUAAGAGCAUACGGGGCCGGACCCGAAAGAAGGUGAACUAUGCCUGUAUAGGGUGAAGCCAGAGGAAACUCUGGUGGAGGCUCGCAGCGGUUCUGACGUGCGAAUCGAUCGUCAAAUAUGGGCAUGGGGGCGAAAGACUAAUCGAACCUUCUAGUAGCUGGUUUC
RNAcentral lists this ribosomal RNA (891 nucleotides) under Samsoniella haniana. RNAcentral describes it as "partial large subunit ribosomal RNA". It matches the Rfam family "Eukaryotic large subunit ribosomal RNA", at positions 35 to 958 of the family's 3401-position model. RNAcentral also lists the same sequence under 1 other name. The record is from RNAcentral. Lineage: Eukaryota; Fungi; Ascomycota; Sordariomycetes; Hypocreales; Cordycipitaceae.